Molecule: long non-coding RNA, 493 nt
Filed under: Cricetulus griseus (Chinese hamster)
Lineage: Eukaryota; Metazoa; Chordata; Mammalia; Rodentia; Cricetidae
Description: lncRNA (ENSCGRG00015035138.1)
Source: RNAcentral
GUCCCUCACUCCAGAAUGCCUGGAAGUCCCUGCGGCUCUCAUAGGCCCCCUGUUCUCCCUUAGUUCUACCGUUGUGUCUUCCAGACACAACAGGACUCAGCACAUAUGAACUCACAGACUGUGGCAGCAGGCACAGACCUUCAAAGCUCAAGCCAGAGGGAGGCCAGUACCGAGAGGGGAAGUGGACACGAGCUCCCUCCCAUCCCUGGACAGGAAGCUACCUCCAGUUGGCGUGUACUUGCAAAGGAAAAGUUGGCUUUCUCCACUGGAGUCUCAUUGGCUAUAUUGACCACACUGAAGAGAAGGAAGGAAGGAAGGAUGAAUUGGGCGGUGUACAUCUGUAAUCCAAGCCCUGGGGAAGUGGAAGCAGAAGACCCAAUUCAAGACCAUCCUCAGCCUCAAGGAAGUUCAUGGUCAGCCUGGGAAACAUGAAACCUUACUUAAAAAAAAAACAAAACAGAAAAUAUUAGAGUAUGCAUACUGCCUAACCCAC